AAGUCGUAACAAGGUUUCCGUAGGUGAACCUGCGGAAGGAUCAUUACAAAUCCAUUUUUUUUCUCUUUAAGGUGCCAGCUGAGCGGGUUGACGAGGACUCACAACCUUGUCCUUCUGCUCGCUGCCCUUAAGGGAAAAAAAAACCAUAUACCUCAAAAACCCCUUUGUGCACUGUUGAAAAGGCGUCAACGUGGGGAGUACCCCCGUUAGUCGUCUACCCAUUUCAAAACGCUUUUAUUUUUGUUUUGCCUAAAGGUUUUUGAACCCAAGUGAUUUAAAUAAAUCUAAAAUACAACUUUUAGCAACGGAUCUCUUGGCUCUC
This 322-nucleotide unclassified non-coding RNA is filed under the name fungal sp. Its description in RNAcentral is "partial internal transcribed spacer region". The stretch from base 1 to 46 matches the Rfam family "Eukaryotic small subunit ribosomal RNA", at positions 1786 to 1831 of the family's 1831-position model. The record is from RNAcentral. Lineage: Eukaryota; Fungi.